RNAcentral lists this ribosomal RNA (271 nucleotides) under uncultured prokaryote. RNAcentral's name for it is "partial 16S ribosomal RNA". It matches the Rfam family "Bacterial small subunit ribosomal RNA", at positions 524 to 794 of the family's 1533-position model. The record is from RNAcentral.
UACGGAGGAUCCGAGCGUUAUCCGGAUUUAUUGGGUUUAAAGGGUGCGCAGGCGGGGGAUUAAGUCGGCGGUGAAAUUUUGCAGCUCAACUGUAAAAGUGCCUUCGAAACUGGUUUCCUUGAGUGUAGAUGAAGUAGGCGGAAUUUGUGGUGUAGCGGUGAAAUGCAUAGAUAUCACGAGGAACUCCGAUUGCGCAGGCAGCUUACUAAACUACUACUGACGCUCAGGCACGAAGGCGUGGGGAUCAAACAGGAUUAGAUACCCGCGUAGU